CUGGGGAGUACGGCCGCAAGGUUAAAACUCAAAUGAAUUGACGGGGGCCCGCACAAGCGGUGGAGCAUGUGGUUUAAUUCGAUGCAACGCGAAGAACCUUACCUACCCUUGACAUCGACAGAAGCCGGAAGAGAUUCUGGUGUGCCUUCGGGAACUGUCAGACAGGUGCUGCAUGGCUGUCGUCAGCUCGUGUUGUGAAAUGUUGGGUUAAGUCCCGUAACGAGCGCAACCCUUGUCCUUAUUUGCCAGCGGGUAAUGCCGGGA
This 264-nucleotide ribosomal RNA is filed under the name Halomonas llamarensis. RNAcentral describes it as "partial 16S ribosomal RNA". It matches the Rfam family "Bacterial small subunit ribosomal RNA", at positions 873 to 1136 of the family's 1533-position model. Lineage: Bacteria; Pseudomonadati; Pseudomonadota; Gammaproteobacteria; Oceanospirillales; Halomonadaceae. The record is from RNAcentral.